GUGAAGUGAAGACAGAGCUGCCCGCGCCGAGUGGGUUCUGGUUGGGUGCGGAGCAGUCAGUCCGUAAAUUGGGAGCAGUGCAGCAUAUGUGGAAAGUUCAUUUCUUUUUCUGUGAAGGCAUGGAACUGUCUGUACCAGAGUUCACCUUGUCUCUAGAAGAAGAGAGGUUGCUGGUGACAGAAGUCAUGAUCUGUCUUCCCUUCUGAAGACACAACCAGCUCCACGAGAUCACCAAGCAAGAUUUAACACGUUCAUGCCUCGGAACCACAAUUCCUGAUUAGAGCCACAAGAAGAAGAAGAAGGUACCUAUCCCAUCCCCCCCUCCAGGCAAAGUGUGCCAGCUAUUAAGUAAUUGUCUCUCAACUCCAUCCACAUUAUUCUGUGCUCCACUUAGUGAUGCUGGGAUUCUAUAAACCACUCUUCUUCCUCUUAGGCAGCUGCUCCCCAUGAGGCUUUGCCAAAGGAGAGUGAAUGCAAGUUUGAAGGAAUAAAAAGGGAUUUGCUC
Long non-coding RNA from Myotis lucifugus (little brown bat), 505 nucleotides. RefSeq lists it as uncharacterized. NCBI's taxonomy places the organism in Eukaryota, Metazoa, Chordata, Mammalia, Chiroptera, Vespertilionidae. The transcript has 3 exons. The record is from RefSeq and is a predicted model, not a curated record.